This 283-nucleotide long non-coding RNA is filed under the name Carica papaya (papaya). Its description in RNAcentral is "long non-coding RNA (CPAP_LNC001615)". The record is from RNAcentral. Lineage: Eukaryota; Viridiplantae; Streptophyta; Magnoliopsida; Brassicales; Caricaceae.
AGUUGUAAAUGCCAUUAACAAUAGGAUUAAAAAGCUAAAAUUGGUUUUCUUCGCGCACAUGAAUAAGGAAAAAAACUUAGUAGUUGAUUUCUUUGUCAGGAUUAAAAUGGUAAAUGAGAGUGAUCUUAGUGGCAUUGCCUUGAUUGUUAGGCUGGCUAGUGCUAGAUUUUUUUAAUGAUGAAAAAAAUUUAUUUCAUUGAACUUUUUUUUAACAUCUUCUAUAACUAUUAGUUUUUUUUACCCUAAGUUGUGUUCUAGUUUUCUUUUUUAGUUUUUAGUAGUU